Molecule: ribosomal RNA, 427 nt
Filed under: Salmonella enterica subsp. enterica serovar Enteritidis
Lineage: Bacteria; Pseudomonadati; Pseudomonadota; Gammaproteobacteria; Enterobacterales; Enterobacteriaceae
Description: partial 23S ribosomal RNA
Rfam family: Bacterial large subunit ribosomal RNA
Source: RNAcentral
CUAUCAUUAACUGAAUCCAUAGGUUAAUGAGGCGAACCGGGGGAACUGAAACAUCUAAGUACCCCGAGGAAAAGAAAUCAACCGAGAUUCCCCCAGUAGCGGCGAGCGAACGGGGAGGAGCCCAGAGCCUGAAUCAGCAUGUGUGUUAGUGGAAGCGUCUGGAAAGGCGCGCGAUACAGGGUGACAGCCCCGUACACAAAAGCGCAUGUGCUGUGAGCUCGAUGAGUAGGGCGGGACACGUGGUAUCCUGUCUGAAUAUGGGGGGACCAUCCUCCAAGGCUAAAUACUCCUGACUGACCGAUAGUGAACCAGUACCGUGAGGGAAAGGCGAAAAGAACCCCGGCGAGGGGAGUGAAAAAGAACCUGAAACCGUGUACGUACAAGCAGUGGGAGCCCCACCACCAAAGCAUUUGCUGUACCGCGUUGA